UACAUGGAGGAGAGGACCCCCGAGAGGCGGCCCGAGGGGCUCAGCUCGGCCGAGACCGGGCGCGCCCCGUUGGCCAGGCUUGCCCCGCCGCCCGGCCGCUCCGACGGAGGGUAGAUGGGGCGGAGGGAGAUAAUGCAUAAGUGUCCGUCCUGGAGGAACACGUUUUCUAUGUCUUCUCAGAGAUCCUGAUAUGUCUAUUUUGAUGUCACAUAUUCCAAACUGAGUCUUUUUUUUUCACAAAAAGAAUUGAGCUGUAGCUGUAGUUCAGACCCCUGUUCCUUUCCUCCCAAUGGGAAAAAGGCAUGCUGUUCUAUUUUCAUGAGCCUUCCUUAGAUCUUGCAAAACAUACGGACAGCAGAGGCUGGAUGAUCCAGAUGGCAUGAUAGCUAGAAGGAGGGAGUGCAUCCCAUUGUCAUUAAAUAUAAAAGCAACAACAAAAACAACCAAAAAAGGAUUCACUUUUGGAGGUGGGGAGUUCAAUUGAAGGUUAGAAAGCCUUCGUUUUAAUAGGAUCGAAGUGAAAUUACUUAAUAAGAAAACGCUGGACGGCAGGCUUAAGUGCUUUCUAAGCCAUUUAAGGAAACAGAAAAAAAUGGAGAGGGAAUACAUACUUGCCCAGAGCGAGGAAAAUGUGCAAAUGUCCAAGCCAACUCCACUACAAGGUUUCUUGCGAUGGAUGCUAAAGAUCCCCAGAAAACUCAGGUUGGUGGGAAGCUUGCUAACUGCUAUCAAGUCAAAGGUGAUUUAUGGUGACUCAAUGAAUGAGAGGCCUCCAAGUCAUCCUAUCAUCAACUAUUCAAUAACUCGGCUCAAUCAUUAAUCAGAAUGGAGACGGCUGUGAAGAAAUCAGAAGAAGACUAGAGGAUUAUUGUAUGUUUUCCAGGCUGUAUGGCCAUGUUCCAGAAGUAUUCUCUCCUGUCAUUUUGCCCACAUCUAUGGCAGGCAUCUCCAGAGGUUGUGAGGUAGAACUUGGAACGAGCGGAUGCCGUGAAGACUAGAAGUUGGAAGGAGAGGAUACCGUGAAGACUAGAUCUUGGAAAGAAGUGGAUGCCGUGAAGACUAGAUCCUGGAAGGAGAGGAUGCCGUGAAGACUAGAACUUGGAAGGAGAGGAUGCCAUGAAGAUUAGAAUUUGGAAGGAGCUGAUGCUGUGAAGACUAGAUCUUGGAAGGAGAGGAUGCCAUGAAGACUAGAACUUGGAAGGAGAGGAUGCCGUGAAGACUAGAACUUGGAAGGAGAGGGUGCCGUGAAGACUAGAACUUGGAAGGAGAGGAUGCUGUGAAGACUAGAACUUGGAAGAAGAGGAUGCCAUAAAGACUGGAACUUGGAAGGAGAGGAUGCCGUGAAGACUAGAUCUUGGAAGGAUGCUGUGAAGACUAGAUCUUGGAAGGAGAGGAUGCCGUGAAGACUAGAUCUUGGAAGGAGAGGAUGCCAUGAAGACUAGAACUUUGAAGGAGAGGAUGCCAUGAAGACUAGACCUUGGAAGGAGAGGAUGCCAUGAAGACUAGAACUUGGAAGGAGAGGAUGCCAUGAAGACUAGAUCUUGGAAGGAGAGGAUGCCGUGAAGACUAGAACUUGGAAGGAGAGGAUGCCGUGAAGACUAGAACUUGGAAGAAGAUGAUGCCGUGAAGACUAGAUCUUGGAAGGAAAGGAUGCCAUGAAGACUAGAUCUUGGAAGGAGAGGAUGCCAUGAAGACUAGAACUUGGAAGGAGAGGAUGCCGUGAAGACUAGAACUUGGAAGAAGACGAUGCCGUGAAGACUAGAUCUUGGAAGGAGAGGAUGCCAUGAAGACUAGAUCUUGGAAGGAGAGGAUGCCGUGAAGACUAGAACUUGGAAGAAGAGGAUGCCGUGAAGACUAGAACUUGGAAGGAGAGGAUGCUGUGAAGACUAGAACUUGGAAGAAGAGGAUGCCAUGAAGACUAGAACUUGGAAGGAGAGGAUGCCGUGAAGACUAGAUCUUGGAAGGAGAGGAUGCCGUGAAGACUAGAACUUGGAAGGAGAGGAUGCUGUGAAGACUAGAUCUUGGAAGGAGAGGAUGCCGUGAAGACUAGAACUUGGAAGAAGAGGAUGCCCUGAAGACUAGAUCUUGGAAGGAGAGGAUGCCAUGAAGACUAGAACUUGGAAGGAGAGGAUGCCGUGAAGACUAGAACUUGGAAGGAGAGGGUGCCGUGAAGAUUAGAACUUGGAAGGAGAGGAUGCUGUGAAGACUAGAACUUGGAAGAAGAGGAUGCCAUGAAGACUAGAACUUGGAAGGAGAGGAUGCCGUGAAGACUAGAUCUUGGAAGGAUGCUGUGAAGACUAGAUCUUGGAAGGAGAGGAUGCCGUGAAGACUAGAUCCUGGAAGGAGAGGAUGCCGUGAAGACUAGAACUUGGAAGGAGAGGAUGCCAUGAAGAUUAGAAUUUGGAAGGAGCGGAUGCCGUGAAGACUAGAUCUUGGAAGGAGAGGAUGCCAUGAAGACUAGAACUUGGAAGGAGAGGGUGCCGUGAAGACUAGAACUUGGAAGGAGAGGAUGCUGUGAAGACUAGAACUUGGAAGAAGUGGAUGCCAUGAAGACUAGAACUCGGAAGGAGAGGAUGCCGUGAAGACUAGAUCUUGGAAGGAUGCUGUGAAGACUAGAUCUUGGAAGGAGAUGAUGCCGUGAAGACUAGAUCUUGGAAGGAGAGGAUGCCAUGAAGACUAGAACUUUGAAGGAGAGGAUGCCAUGAAGACUAUAUCUUGGAAGGAGAGGAUGCCAUGAAGACUAGAACUUGGAAGGAGAGGAUGCCAUGAAGACUAGAUCUUGGAAGGAGAGGAUGCCAUGAAGACUAGAACUUUGAAGGAGAGGAUGCCGUGAAGACUAGAUCUUGGAAGAAGAGGAUGCCGUGAAGACUAGAUCUUGGAAGGAGAGGAUGCUGUGAAGACUAGAUCUUGGAAGGAGAGGAUGCCGUGAAGACUAGAAUUUGGAAGGAGAGGAUGCCGUGAAGACUAGAACUUGGAAGAAGAGGAUGCCGUGAAGACUAGAUCUUGGAAGGAGAGGAUGCUGUGAAGACUAGAACUUGGAAGAAGAGGAUGCCAUGAAGACUAGAACUUGGAAGGAGAGGAUGCCGUGAAGACUAGAUCUUGGAAGGAGAGGAUGCCGUGAAGACUAGAACUUGGAAGGAGAGGAUGCCGUGAAAACUAGAACUUGGAAGGAGAGGAUGCUGUGAAGACUAGAUCUUGGAAGGAUGCUGUGAAGACUAGAUCUUGGAAGGAGAGGAUGCCGUGAAGACUAGAUCUUGGAAGGAGAGGAUGCCGUGAAGACUAGAUCUUGGAAGGAUGCUGUGAAGACUAGAUCUUGGAAGGAGAGGAUGCCAUGAAGACUAGAACUUGGAAGGAGAGGAUGCCGUGAAGACUAGAUCUUGGAAGGAUGCUGUGAAGACUAGAUCUUGGAAGGAGAGGAUGCCGUGAAGACUAGAUCUUGGAAGAAGAGGAUGCCGUGAAGACUAGAUCUUGGAAGGAGAGGAUGCCAUGAAGACUAGAUCUUGGAAGGAGAGGAUGCCGUGAAGACUAGAAUUUGGAAGGAGAGGAUGCCGUGAAGACUAGAACUUGGAAGAAGAGGAUGCCGUGAAGACUAGAACUUGGAAGGAGAGGAUGCUGUGAAGACUAGAACUUGGAAGAAGAGGAUGCUGUGAAGACUAGAACUUGGAAGGAGAGGAUGCUGUGAAGACUAGAACUUGGAAGAAGAGGAUGCCAUGAAGACUAGAACUUGGAAGGAGAGGAUGCCGUGUAGACUAGAACUUGGAAGGAGAGGAUGCCGUGAAGACUAGAACUUGGAAGGAGAGGAUGUCGUGAAGACUAGAUCUUGGAAGGAGAGGAUGCCGUGAAGACUAGAACUUGGAAGGAGAGGAUGCCGUGAAAACUAGAACUUGGAAGGAGAGGAUGCCCUGAAGACUAGAACUUGGAAGGAGAGGAUGCCGUGAAGACUAGAACUUGGUUUUAGUUCCUAUCCACUUUUUUCAUUGUUCAGCUUUCACAACCAUUCAUAGGAAGGGGAAAUUAAUAUGACAGUUUGGAUUAUCCUAACUUUGGUAUUCAAUUAUAUAUUUUAACACUUCAAGAUCUCCUCUAGUUCCUUCAUAGUUUCCCUUGCAAGUGCAUCUGUACUUUAGAAUGAUUGCCAUUUGAUAGCACUGAAACUGAUAUGGAAUUAUUGGAGUUGUGAUUUGGGGAGGCAUCAGCCCUUUUUGGCACGGAAGAACCUUGUAAAGUUACAACUCCCACAAUUCCAUAACAUUGAGCCAUGACAGUUUAAAGUGGUGUUAAAUUGCAUUAUGUCUACAGUGUACGCACCUUUAAUCUUUUGAUUUCUUGACUGUAAUCUCCACUCUAAUACCUGAGCAAAGGUAUGGAAGAUCUUGAACUUUUCCAAUAUUUUUCAAUGCAGGAAGCUAGAAGCAUGCAUUGAUACUUAAUAAGUAUUAACACAGUCAUCUUGCAAAUAGUCCUAGUUUCCAUACCUGCAAUGUUCACAUAAGACCGGUGUUUGUUUGAAUGUGUGUAUGUGAGGCUCCAUCUACACUGUCAUAUAAUGCAGUUUGAAACUGAUCAGUGUAAACACAUAUAACACAGUUUAACUGCAUUGAACUGCAUUAUAUGAGUCUACCUUGACCAUAUAAUGCAGUUUCAAAUUGUAUUACAGUGUGGAUGGGGCCAGAGAGACGGUAAAAGACACAGUAAAAGACCUAUCCCUCAUGCUUGUAUUGCUGGAAAAUAGAAUUCACUCUUCCCUACCAUUGUAGUUCCUUAGUGUAGAAAAGAAAACAAUGCUAUGAGGUUAAAAAGUUAGUUUCCCUUCACUUCCUAACUGUCACUUGUCUUUCUUUUAAGCAUCAGAAGUGUCAAGCGUUCCUUUUCCUUUGAAAAAAAAAGUUUGAAAAAAAGAAAAGGAAGGAAACAAUGUCUCCCUUUCUUAAAUAUUAUUACAAAGUACGUAAGAGGGUUUCCUUUAGUUAUUGUGUUUUCAAAGCAAUUUGACAAUGGUUACAUUCAUUGUGAUACAACCUAAUACAGCUCACAUUUGUGGAGUCUUGACAGCUCACUGGAACUUUUUAUAUCAAUAUCUUUGAUGGAUAUUGGAAUGUUAUGCAGUUAAAUAAACUUACCCCUCUUAAAUAAGGCUGUGCUAAGUAUAUUAAUGCAUUUACACUGUCAAAUUAAUGUUCUACUUGAACUGAUAUAACUAAACGGUAUGAAAUAUUAGGAUCUGUAGUUUGGCGAGGCAUUAGAAGAGGCUAAAGACCUUGUAAAAACUAGGUAAAGGUAAAGGUUUUCCACUGAUAUUAAGUCUAAUUGUGUCUGACUCUGCGGACAUCUCCAUUUUUCAGCUGAAGAGCCAGCGUUGUCCGUAGACACCUCCAAGGUCAUGUGGCUGGCAUGACUGUAUGGAGCACCAUUACCUUCCUGCCGGAGCAGUAUCAAUUGAUCUACUCACAUUUACAUGUGUUCGAACUGCUAGGUUAGCAGAAGCUGGGGCUAACAGUGGGAGCUCACCCUGCUCCCUGUAUUCAAACCACUGACCUUUUGGUCAGCAAGUUCAGCAGCUCAGCAGUUUAACCUGCUGUGCCACCGGUGACAACAAAACUACAAGUCCAAAAAUCCCAUAGCAUUGAAAUAUAACUGUUGAAGUAGUAUCAUUCUGCAUUAAUUCUGCAGUGUAGAUGCACCCAAAGUUUUAUAAUUCAGAAUGCAGAUAUGUCCCUAAUUUCAUCCCAUCAUCAAAAAAGCAACUUUGUUUUUGAAGCCUCUGAUGUACUCCCAGCCAAACUGGAUAAAGCGAAAAACCCAGAAAGUAUUGAUUGAGAAGACUGGGGAGUGUGAGAGUGAACGUGAGACCAACUGCCCUUUUGGGCAUCUACAUUGUCUUUCCUUUGUCAAUAUUGCCUUGUUGAUCUUGGCUGAGAGGGGGUUUCUUAGGUUUUAUUAGGUCUCUUAAAUCCGAUUACUCUCUUUGUGGCUCCCACCCGCCUCCCAGCGGCUCCCCAUUUGGUAUUUACCUUUGGGUGUCCCCAGUGAACUCUGACGCUUGCUCAAAAUUGCACACAGAUAUGUGUGUGUGCCUCUCUCUCUCUUUCCUUACUUCUCUCACCUUCUGUUCAAUGCCAGCUCUAGCCAAACACAGCAGGGAUGUGUUAAUUAAUCAGUGUAAACAGAAUCUUGGGAAGUGGUUUAAGGCAUCUUGCUCCUCGAUUAGGGCUUCCCUGGAGCAGCAAGCCAUCCUUCAUCCCGGAGAUACAAAGCCAUAGGAAGAGAGACACAGAGAUAAGCAUGGCAGCUCUGUAUCCUCUGUAUGACUAGAACCACAUAACUUACCAUUUUUGUUCUUGUGUGCCUUCAAGUUGUUUCUGACAUAUGGGAAUCGUAAGGCAAACCUUUAGCUGGAUUUUCUAGGCUACAUUUCUUGAAAGGUUUGCCAUUGCUUUCCUUGGAAUUAUUCACUCAAAGUCGUUGCUGAGUAGGAGUGUGUGACUCGGCAAAAACCCACCCCAUUUUUGGUUGCGCCUCCAUUCUGUUCACCUUAAAGUUCUCGAAUUUUGGAGGGGGUUCCAUUUGCAUGCAGAAUAAUAUUCGUUCCAUUGGCACCAAUUGUCCUGUUUUGUCUUUCAAGAACAGCUUUAAAACAAUGUGAUAAGUAAAUGAAAACAUAAAGCAAAACAUAAAGAACAUCACACUUAGUGGUAUAAUGCAAAAGAAAGCAAGGAAGUCUUAGGGCAAGCACAGUUCUUAAGUCUCUGAUAAAUUCCCAAAUCAAGUAGCAGUCUUACUUCAGACAAAGAAACAGCAAUAAAUCCUUAGGAGCAGUUUCCCAGAUGCAGACUCGAAGCAGGCACAAGGGGAGCGAAGGCUUAGGCAUUAGAGCCAGUUUGUUACCAGCAAAAGCUGACUGCACCUGCUUCUGAUUUAUAGCUCUGAAUUCCCCCACAGCUGCUGGGGUGGUUCCCAAUUACUUGGCUGUAUUUUUGGCAGCUUUUCUAGCUGAACAACGUCUCUACUCUGUUUCCUUUCACCUUUCCUGAAAUGUGGGUCCCUCCAAACUCUCCUCCUCAGAUUCUGACUGCCCCUCUGACCCAUGAACACUUUCCUGCUCCCCUUCCUCUUCAGAAGAAGAGGAAUCCCUAACACCAAUGGGAAUACUUCAGAGGCUCGAUUCUAGUCUUAUCAGCAUACAUACAUCUCACCUCACUUGUAGGCCACAUUUACUAUUGGGAUGCAAUGGAUCACGACCUGUUAGGAUCUCAAUCCAUCAAGGGCAGCAGAGUUUGAGCUGAGUGUUCCUUGAGUUUAUUUGAUGCUUUAGGCAGGCAAAGAUACAAGCAGACUUCUUUUAGAUAUAACAAUGUUUUUUUAGUUGUAACUUCUUGUAUUUAAUGAUACAGGCACAUUUCUUUUGUCAGGAUAAACUUCAAAAUGAUUAGAGAGUUUGUAUAUUAAACUUAUCUUCUUUUACCGUCUCUUCAUAAACUAUAUUGCUUUAAGCAGCCAUCUUCAAUAUGAGUGUACUUUAAAAGAAAACACAAGCCUCAACAGUUCCAACUUCUAACAUUAUCUUCCGCACUCUAACAGAGUUCUACACUCAAGCUGACUCGAGGCUACAAAAACAAAGUUAUUGUUAUUAUUAUAUCUUCCAAAUAAGGUACACCAAAACGAUACGUUGCAUACCCCUGAGGGGCUGUGAUGGUGCAGCGGGUUAAAUCAUUAAGCUACAGAACUUGCUAAUCGGAAGUUCGGUGUUCAAAUCCAUGAGACAGGGUGAGCUCUUGUUAGUAUACACUGUAGUUUGACACUCCCCCCCCCCCCGGUGUCUGGAGUGACUUGUGGAACUGCAAGUGUCUUCUGGAGCGAGAGAAUUGGCCAUCUGUAAGGAUGUUGCUCAGAUGUUUUGAUGUGUUUACCACCCUUGUGGAAGGCUUCUCUUGUGUCCCUGCAUGGGGAGCUGGAGCUGAUAGAGGGAGUUCAUCCGUGCUCUCCCUGGUAUGGAUUUGAACCAGCAACCUUUAGGUUAGCAACCCAACCUUCAAGUCAGCAGUUCUGCUGGCACAAGGGUUUAACCCACUGAAUGCUAUGGAAUCCUGGGAGUUGUAGAUUCACAAGGUCUUUAGCCUUCUCUGCCAAAGAGGGCUGGUGCCUUACUGAGCUACAACUCCCAGGACCUCAUAACAUUGAGCCAUGGCAGUCCAAGUGCAUUAAUUCUAUGGUGUAGAUGCACCCAGAGCUGUCGUAGGGCUGCUCCGCCGCAUACUUCCCAUCUCCCCCUUUCUAUGCGCCGGCUUUGCACUCCAUUCCAUAGAUGCUGCCCCCUUAUAUCAGUAACAAACAAGCAUUGAUUUUAUGGUAAAGUCACUUUGGGAUGGGAAUGAGUAACUCCAGGCAGUGCUAUCACUGUAUUACAUGGAAAUGGCCCAGGUAACAAGAUGAACAUUGAUUCAGCAUUAUGUUUGAUCAAUAAUGAAAUAAGUAACUUCAGGGCCAAAUUAAAAUGCAAGCUGGCUGAACGCUGCCAGCUUCUGGGCUAAGUGACAAGGCUAAUUCAGCAGGGAAAUGGCAAUAUUUGCAUUAGAGGCUGCAUCUGUUGUCUAGCAGAAAAAACGAGGUUGAAGGGUGUGUGUGUGUGUGUUUAUAGAGCGGGGGGCUUGGAUCCAUAUCAAGGCAACAUGAAAUAACUUCAAAGCCCGGAUGCUCACUUUAAGGAUAGGAAAUGCAACCACGGCACAAGCAGAUACAGAGGCGCUUCAUUCGGUAUCAUCUAACAAAUGUCUGCCCCCAAGUUACCAUUUUUGGAAAAUAAAGAUCAAGGUAGGUUUACAAUCCUGUCAAGGGAGCAACAGGAAGCAAACAGUAUUCAUAUAUGCAAGGAUAUACAACCGUUGAAUCAAUGAAGGUGACAUAAACAUUGACCCAUUGAAUCGAUGGAGCUGAGAUAAAGUGAAGCCCUUGAAGCAAUGGAGCUGAUAGAAGUGUUGACUUACCAAGAGUGCAUCUACAUUAUAGAAUAAAUGCAGUUUGACACCGCCAUGGUUCAAUUUUAUGGAAAAGUGGUUCUCAACCUUCCUAAUGCCGUGACCCCUUAAUACAGUUCCUCAUGUUGUGGUGACCCCUAAUAAUAAUAAUAAUAAUAAUAAUAAUAAUAAUAAUAAUAAUAAUAAUAAUUAGGGCCUGAUCCUUGCAGCCCAGAAGCAAGCCAUCAGAACAAAUGCAAUUAAGGCCAAGAUUGAAAAAUCAGCUGAUGACCCAAAAUGCAGACUGUGCAAGGCAACCGACGAAACCAUUGAUCAUAUCCUCAGCUGCUGUAAGAAAAUCGCACAGACAGACUACAAACAGAGGCACAACUAUGUGGCCCAAAUGAUUCAUUGGAACUUAUGCCUCAAGUACCACCUCCCAGCAGUAAAGAACUGGUGGAAUCACAAACCUGCAAAAGUAUUGGAAAAUGAGCACGCAAAGAUACUGUGGGACUUCCGAAUCCAGACUGACAAAGUUCUGGAACACAACACACCAGACAUCACAGUUGUGGAAAAGAAAAAGGUUUGGAUCAUUGAUGUUGCCAUCCCAGGUGACAGUCGCAUUGACGAAAAACAACAGGAAAAACUCAGCCGCUAUCAGGACCUCAAGAUUGAACUUCAAAGACUCUGGCAGAAACCAGUGCAGGUGGUCCCGGUGGUGAUCGGCACAUUGGAUGCCGUGCCAAAAGAUCUCAGCCGGCAUUUGGAAACAAUAGACAUUGACAAAAUCACGAUUUGCCAACUGCAAAAGGUCACCCUACUGGGAUCUGCGCUCAUCAUCCGAAAAUACAUCACACAGUCCUAGACACUUGGGAAGUGUUCAACUUGUGAUUUUGUGAUAUGAAAUCCAGCAUAUCUAUCUUGUUUGCUGUGUCAUAAUAAAAUAAUAAUAGUAAUUUUGCCAUGCCAAAAGAUCUCAGCCAGCAUUUGGAAACAAUAGACAUUGACAAAAUCACGAUCUGCCAAUUGCAAAAAGCCACCCUACUGGGAUCUGCAGGCAUCAUCCGAAAAAACAUCUCACAGUCCUAGAAACUUGGGAAGUGUUCGACUUGUGAUUUUGUGAUACGAAAUCCAGCAUAUCUAUCUUGUUUGCUGUGUCAUAAAAUAUUAAUAUUAAUAAUAAUAAUAACCAUAGAAUUAUUUUCGUUGCUACUUCAAAACUGUAAUUUUGCUAUUGUUAUGAAUCAUAAUGUAAAUAUCUGAAAUCCAGAAUGUAUUUUCAUUCACUGGACCAAAUUUGGCACAAAUACCCAAUAUGCCCAAAUUUGAGUGCUGGCGGGGUUGGGGACGACAACUGAUUUUGUCAUUUGGGAGUUGUAAUUUCUGGGAUUUAUAGUUCACCUACAAUCAAAGAGCAUUCUGAACUCCACCAACAAUUGAACUGAACCAAACGUGGCACGCAGAACUCCCAACGGAAAAUACUGGAAAGGUUUGGUAGGCAUUGACCUUGCGUUUUGGAGUUAUAGUUUGCCUACAUCCAGAGAGCACUGUGGACUCAAACAAUGAUGGAUCUGGACCAGACUUGGCACAAAUACUCAAUAUGCCCAAAUUUGAACACUGGUGGAAUUUGGGGAAAAUACACCUUAACAUUAUGGAGUUGUAUGCUUCUAGCAGUUCGAAAACAUGCAAAUGUGAGUAGAUCUAUAGGUACCACUCCGGCAGGAAGGUAACGGCACUCCAUGUAGUCAUGCUGGCCAUAUGACCUUGGAGGUGUCUACAGACAAUGCCGGCUCUUUGGCUUAGAAAUGGUGAUCAGCGCCAACCCCCAGUCGUUCACAACUGGACUUAACGUCAAGGGAAACCUUUACCUUUUACCUAUUUGAUCAAUGAUCUCCCCCCAAUAGAAGGUUGUGUGACUGUCACUUAUUGUUAUUUGAGUUGUAAGGUUUUAUUUUGUUUAAUAAUGUGUUUUUUAUGCUGUUUAUGUACUGUAUGCUGUUUGUAUUUAUUGUUGGAAACUGCCCUGAGUCCGUUCGGGGAGAUAGAGCAGUAUAUAAAUAAAGUUUUACCUACUUUUUACUUACUUUUUUUAUUACUUGCAAAACAUAAUAGUAAUAGUUAAUCAGCCCCAGAGGGUUUUUAAUAAUCUAUCCCGUAUUUAUUACGAUUUUUACCAUUUAUGUGUUUUAAAUGCAAUUUUUUAUCCUGUAUUUUUGUUUUAAUUGAUAUAUUGUAUUACUGUUUUAUCUUUUUAUAGUGUGAUUUGUAUUAUGUUACCUAUGUUUUGUUCUAUGUUGUUUGGGCCUCUGCCCCAUGUAAGCCGCCCCGAGUCCCCGUGGGGAGAUGGUGGAGGGGUAUAAAUAAACUUUUAUUAUUAUUGGGUUGUUGUAUGUCUUUCGGGCUGUGUGGCCAUGUUCCAGAAGUAUUCUCUCCUGACGUUUCGCCCACAUCUAUGGCAGGCAUCCUCAGAGGUUGUGAGGUAUGGAUAAACUAAGUAAGGAAAGGAAAGAAUAUAUAUCUGUGUAGAGUCCAGGGUGUGGCAAGAGUCCUUUAUCACUGGGAGCCAGCAUUAAUGUUUCAGUUAAUCACCCUAAUUAGCAUUGGAAAUGUUUUGUCUCUUGCCUGGGGGCAUCCUUUGUUCAGUCAAGCCCUCAGAGUGUUGGUUCCCAUCUACUGUUUUGAUUUUGGAGUUUUGUAAUACUGGUAGCCAGAUUUUGUUCAUUUUCAUGGUUUCUUCCUUUCUGUUGAAGUUGUCCACAUGCUUGUUUAUUUCAAUGGCUUCUCUGUGUAGUCUGACAUGAUAGUUGUUAGAAUGGUCCAGCAUUUUUGUGUUCUCAAAUAGUAUUCUGUGUCCAGGCUGGUUCAUCAAAUGCUCUGCUAUGGCUGAUUUCUCUGGUUGAAUUAGUCUGCAGUGCCUUUCAUGUUCUUUGACUCUUGUUUGGGCAUCGCUGCGUUUGGUGGUCCCUAUGUAUACUUGUCCACAGCUGCACAAAGAAUCUGCGAACCUCACCUCCUCCAAGGUGAACUCAACUACCUAAACUGGGCUCUACAGGCCAAUGGAUACUCCACCACAGACAUCAGAAGAGCUGCAAGGCCAAGAACAAGCCCUGAGAGUCAAGACAAAGAUCCACCCAGAGGAAAGGUGUUCUUACCAUACAUCAAGGGAACCACUGACCGCAUAGGCAAACGGAUGAAGAAACACAACCUACAAACUAUCUACAGACCCACAAAGAAAAUCCAACAAAUGCUACAGUCAGCGAAGGACAAGAGGGAUCCUCUCUCCUCUGCAGGAGUCUACCGGAUACCAUGCAGCUGUGGACAAGUCUACAUAGAGACCACCAAACGCAGCGAUGCCCAAACAAGAAUCAAAGAACAUGAAAGGCACUGCAGACUAAUUCAACCAGAGAAAUCAGCCAUAGCAGAGCAUUUGAUGAACCAGCCUGGACAAAGGAUAUUAUUUGAGAACACAAAAAUGCUGGACCAUUCCAACAACUAUCAUGUCAGACUACACAGAGAAGCCAUUGAAAUCCACAAGCAUGUGGACAACUUCAACAGAAAGGAAGAAACCAUGAAAAUGAACAAAAUCUGGCUACCAGUAUUACAAAACUCCAAAAUCAAAACAGUAGAUGGGAACCAACACUCUGAGGGCUUGACU
Anolis carolinensis (green anole) is the source of this 12606-nucleotide long non-coding RNA. RefSeq lists it as uncharacterized. The transcript has 2 exons. The record is from RefSeq and is a predicted model, not a curated record. Lineage: Eukaryota; Metazoa; Chordata; Lepidosauria; Squamata; Anolidae.